RNAcentral lists this small nucleolar RNA (93 nucleotides) under Echinops telfairi (small Madagascar hedgehog). RNAcentral's name for it is "Small nucleolar RNA SNORA61 (ENSETEG00000025988.1)". Lineage: Eukaryota; Metazoa; Chordata; Mammalia; Afrosoricida; Tenrecidae. The record is from RNAcentral.
ACCCUCCAGAUUCCUUCCCCAUCAGAUCAAGCCAUUGCUCCAAAUGGCUAUAAAAGGAGAAAAAGUAAAGCUGAAAUGGACUUAGAAAAAAGA